This 462-nucleotide long non-coding RNA is filed under the name Equus asinus (donkey). RNAcentral's name for it is "lncRNA (ENSEASG00005027998.1)". Lineage: Eukaryota; Metazoa; Chordata; Mammalia; Perissodactyla; Equidae. The record is from RNAcentral.
CUUCCUGCAGGAGGAGCUAUUUCAAGCAAACUGUGAGAACGAGCAAGUCCUGCACGGAAUUGGAGGGAAGGAGGGUUCCCAUGCCCCGUCUGCAUCAUGUCCUUUCUCCCAGGAAUUCAAAGUCACCCAGCAGAUCUUCCUGCUCCAGGAGGCAGUCCAUCUUUACCACAUUGAGGCUGAGGAGCGAUUUGGGGCCUGGUUCGAGGCCAUGGAGCCCCUCAGCGAGGAUGAGAGCUACAGCCUGUCCUGCCACCUGGAGCCCCCACAGGAGAGGGCCGGCAAGAUGCGCCGGUUUUUUCCUGCCCAAGGAAGAACCGCGCAUCUCUCAGCUCAGGGCUCGUCACCAGACCCCCGACGCAGAACCCAGCAACAGUGGCAGAUCCCGGUCCUUCCAACAGCUCGAGUGCAGCCUGCUCUUCAGCGGCGGGGACACAGCUGGGAAACACGCGGGGCCCCAGGCCG